AUUUGGGUAGCUUAAUUAAAAAGUUUAACACUGAAAAUGUUAAGAUGAAAAAUUUUCCUUGAAUG
Molecule: transfer RNA, 65 nt
Filed under: Metcalfa pruinosa
Lineage: Eukaryota; Metazoa; Arthropoda; Insecta; Hemiptera; Flatidae
Description: tRNA-Phe
Rfam family: tRNA
About the family: Transfer RNA (tRNA) molecules are approximately 80 nucleotides in length. Their secondary structure includes four short double-helical elements and three loops (D, anti-codon, and T loops).
Source: RNAcentral